RNAcentral lists this transfer RNA (84 nucleotides) under Granulosicoccus antarcticus IMCC3135. Its description in RNAcentral is "tRNA-Leu". It matches the Rfam family "tRNA". Rfam says of the family: Transfer RNA (tRNA) molecules are approximately 80 nucleotides in length. Their secondary structure includes four short double-helical elements and three loops (D, anti-codon, and T loops). RNAcentral also lists the same sequence under 6 other names. The record is from RNAcentral. Lineage: Bacteria; Pseudomonadati; Pseudomonadota; Gammaproteobacteria; Chromatiales; Granulosicoccaceae.
GCGAGAGUGGCGGAAUUGGUAGACGCGCUGGUUUUAGGUACCAGUGUCAUUGACGUGGGAGUUCGAGUCUCCCCUUUCGCACCA